Molecule: ribosomal RNA, 511 nt
Filed under: uncultured bacterium
Lineage: Bacteria
Description: bacterial SSU rRNA
Rfam family: Bacterial small subunit ribosomal RNA
Source: RNAcentral
AGAGUUGAUCCUGGCUUAGGAUGAACGCUGGCGGCGUGCUUAACACAUGCAAGUCGAACGGGGAAUUUUUAGUAAGAGAGCUUGCUCGAUUACAGGGAAUUCCUAGUGGCGGACGGGUGAGUAACGCGUGGGCAACCUGCCCUGUACAGGGGGAUAGCAGUUAGAAAUGACUGAUAAAACCGCAUAAGCGCACGGAAUCGCAUGAUUCAGUGUGAAAAACUCCGGUGGUACAGGAUGGGUCCGCGUCCGAUUAGCCAGUUGGCGGGGUAACGGCCCACCAAAGCGACGAUCGGUAGCCGGCCUGAGAGGGCGACCGGCCACAUUGGGACUGAGACACGGCCCAAACUCCUACGGGAGGCAGCAGUGGGGAAUAUUGCACAAUGGGGGAAACCCUGAAUGCAGCGACGCCGCGUGAAGGAAGAAGUAUUUCGGUAUGUAAACUUCUAUCAGCAGGGAAGAUGAUGACGGUACCUGACUAAGAAGCCCCGGCUAACUACGUGCCAGCCGCCGC